RNAcentral lists this ribosomal RNA (2182 nucleotides) under marine metagenome. RNAcentral describes it as "bacterial LSU rRNA". It matches the Rfam family "Bacterial large subunit ribosomal RNA", at positions 215 to 2459 of the family's 2925-position model. The record is from RNAcentral.
GGAAAAGAAAACAAUAGUGAUUCCCCUAGUAGCGGCGAGCGAAAAGGGACAAGUCUAAACCAGCAUAGCUUGCUAUGUUGGGGUUGCGGGAUAUAAUCUGAGUUUACUCGACGAGUCAGAAAAUAGUUAGUUAGAAGAAUGAAUCAGGAAAGUUUCAGCCAAAGAGGGUGAUAGCCCCGUAUUCGAAAAUUAACUAUCUCGUUUGAUUAUACUCCCAAGUAGGGCGGAACACGAGAAAUUCUGUCCGAAUCUGUCAGGACCACCUGAUAAGACUAAAUACUCUCAUAUGACCGAUAGUGAAGAGUACCGUGAGGGAAAGGUGAAAAGUACCCCGAGAGGGGAGUGAAAUAGAACCUGAAACCGUGUGCCUACAAGCGGUCGGAGUCUCUUUUGAGAUGACGGCGUGCCUUUUGCAUAAUGAGCCAGCAAGUUACUCAUACGUUGCAAGGUUAAGUUUAAAUUACGGAGCCGUAGGGAAACCAAGUCUGAAUAGGGCGAUUUAGUAACGUGUGGUAGACGCGAAACCAGGUGAUCUUACCAUGGGCAGGUUGAAGCCUCAGUAAAAUGAGGUGGAGGACCGAACCGACUUGGGUUGAAAACCGAGCGGAUGACCUGUGGUAAGGGGUGAAAGGCUAAUCAAACCUGGUGAUAGCUCGUUCUCCUCGAAAUAUUUUUAGGAAUAGCGUUGUAUUAUAGUAUCAUGGAGGUAGAGCACUGAUUGGGCUAGGGCGCAAUACCCGCGUACCAAACCCAUUUAAACUCCGAAUGCCAUAGAUAUGUUCUACAGCAGUCAGGCAGUGUGAGAUAAGUUUCAUUGCCAAGAGGGAAACAACCCAGACCAACAGCUAAGGCCCCAAAAUUCAUACUCAGUGACAAAGGAUGUGAAUUAGCUAAGACAGCUAGGAGGUUGGCUUAGAAGCAGCCAUCCUUUAAAGAAAGCGUAAUAGCUCACUAGUCAAGGUAAUUUGCGCCGAUAAUAACCGGGACUUAAGUAUGAUGCCGAAGCUUUGGUUCUUACGCUUGCGUAAGAAGGUAGAGGAGCGUUCCAUUAACCUGCGAAGGUUGCUUGUGAGAGCAGCUGGAGGAGAUGGAAAUGAGGAUGCUGGCAUGAGUACGCGAGAAAACACGUGAAAUUCGUGUUCACCAUAAGCCUAAGGUUUCCUGAUCAACGCAAAUCGGAUCAGGGUUAGUCGGCCCCUAAGACGAGGCCGAAAGGCGUAGUCGAUGGGAAUCAGGCAAAUUUUAAUAUUCCUGAACCACCGAAACUUAACCCGGGAGCACCAUUGCCCAGAUAUGUUGACCUUAUUGAUUUGGUUAACAUAAGCAAGCAGUGGCAAGAAAAAGCCCGGUGUAUGCUAAGGUGACCGUACCGUAAACCGACACAGGUAGGCGAGGAGAGUAUCCUAAGGUGCUUGAGAGAACAAUGGUCAAGGAACUCGGCAAAUUGACUCCGUAACUUCGGGAGAAGGAGUUCCCGAUCUUUGAUUGGGACGCAGUGAAAAGGGGGGAGCGACUGUUUACUAAAAACACAGGUCCAUGCUAACACGUAAGUGGACAUAUAUGGACUGACACCUGCCCGGUGCCGGAAGGUUAAGAGGAUUUGUUAUUCUGACUUGUCAGAAGAAGCUUAGAAUUGAAGCCCCGGUAAACGGCGGCCGUAACUAUAACGGUCCUAAGGUAGCGAAAUUCCUUGUCGGGUAAGUUCCGACCUGCACGAAUGGUGCAACGACUUCCCCACUGUCUCGACCAUUGACUCAGCGAAAUUGUAGUAUCGGUGAAGAUGCCGGUUACUUAUAGAAGGACGGAAAGACCCCGUGAACCUUUACUAUAGCUUGAUAUUGGCUUUUGAUUCUAUAUGUGUAGGAUAGGUGGGAGACUUUGAAGCUUUAACGCCAGUUGGAGUGGAGUCAUCCUUGAAAUACCACCCUUGUAUUGUCGCAAGUCUAACCUUGUACCUUGAAUCAGGUAUGGGGACAGUGUCUGGUGGGUAGUUUGACUGGGGCGGUCUCCUCCAAAACAGUAACGGAGGAGCCCAAAGGUCACCUCAGCACGGUCGGUAAUCGUGCGUAGAGUGCAAACGCAUAAGGUGGCUUGACUGCGAGUCUGACGGGACGAGCAGGUGCGAAAGCAGGGGUUAGUGAUCCGGUGGUUCCGAGUGGAAGGGCCAUCGCUAAUCGGAUAA